GCUGCCCCUGUGGCAUAUGGACUAGACUCCCAGGCUGAGGGUCUAGUCGGAGCUGUAGCCGCUGGCCUACGCCACAGCAACAUGGGAUCUGAGCAGCGUCUGCAACCUACACCACAGCUCACGGCAACACCGAAUCCUUAACUCACUGAGCAAGGCCAGGGAUUGAACUUGCAACCUCAUGGUUCCUUGUCAGAUUCAUUAACCACUGAGCCUCGACGGGAACUCCUCUGCUUGGGCAGAACUGAGUUGUUCUGACUCUCUCAAAGGCCACGCUAGGGUAGGCGGUACCAGUUCAGAUCACAGAUGGGGCAACAGAUUAAGUCGGCACUCCUGGGAGAGGCUGGGCUAUCUAGUUGUAGUACUGCCAACUGGAAAACGCCUGCCUGGACAGUAGCCCACUGUCCCUUGUCCCCAGGGAGCGUCUCAGGGGUACCCUUGCUGCCCCAGGGGCUCUCUUCCUGGCAGACUAGGCAGCUAUCCUGAGGCCGAGGAGGAGACUGAUGCAGGGCCAGGUCAAGGCCCCACCCUUCACCCCAGGCGCACUGACCUUCCUGACGGGAGGGUUGCAGCGGCACAUGGUGCCAUGCCCCUGAGCCUGCUGGGCGGAGAAGAGCUGCACGCACGCCCAGCCCUGUGAGGCAGAGAGGGGUGGACCUGGAGGCCGCUCUGCUUGCUGGGGUGGGAGGAAGUGGAGACGACGCAGGGGGGCCACGCUCCCAUCGCCAGCUGCCUUCUGGAUCAGACCGCCUGCGUUCGAAUCCCAGCCCACCACCUACCAGCCGUGUGACUUAAGGCCUGUUUUCUCAUCUGACACACAAGGAAAACCCACCUGACAGAGCCUCAGGUGAGAAUCCCGCCAGAUGGGGGCCACAGAGCCCUCUGCCCGGUGUCUGGUGAGAGGACGAGGAGUGGCUGAUUUCUUCUCAUCCCCUUCCACGUGCAGCCCUGCAGUCCGCUGCCAGGACGGCCCUGCUUAGCUCCCAGGUUAUGCUGCGGAAGCACCGGAUUCUCAACAGGAACUCACGACUCCACUCACGGCAGGUCCAAGGCUGAGGUGACCUGUGGCAGUCCUCUUGGCUGCCCUCGGCUGAGGGAGGGAUGGGAGACGGCCAGCAUCACCCAGCAGGGGCUAUCAGGCCCCACUGCAGCGGUGUCCACAGCCUUUGGCUGGGCCUGCCACCGCCAUGCCCGUUUCUGGGUACCCUUGUCCCUGAUGGCAACCCCCACCCCCUCAGGGCAGCCAGGCUCUACCCCCCAGAUGGCUGGCCCUCUGCCUGGUGCUUCCUUGCAGCCCCAAUCCACAGACCCACCCUCCCU
Molecule: long non-coding RNA, 1317 nt
Filed under: Sus scrofa (pig)
Lineage: Eukaryota; Metazoa; Chordata; Mammalia; Artiodactyla; Suidae
Description: lncRNA (multiple genes)
Source: RNAcentral